GUCAAACUGUCACUGAGGGAUUCUGUUUAGCAUCACGUUGGUACUUAGCUGUCAUCUGUCAAUUUGGCCACAAUCUCGGAUCGGUCGGUAUUAAACUGUAUAUCCUUUACGAAUUUCGAUCUUUUUCCUACAUUGUUCUAUUACUCAGUAGUAUAAGUCCAGGUCAAAUUCGCAUGUGUGAAGUUAAUCUGUACACAUGAAGUCAUUACAGGAAAAUACGUCCGACAAAGAAGAUUAACAUAAUAACCUGUUACUGUAAAUAUUCAAAGAUGGAUUAAUCAAGGAUUCAGUACAACAUCACUAUGGAGAAGACUCCUCAUAUGCUUGUUAAAGCUGGUCCUUCAGUUUUCAGGUACAAGCUAGUGACAAUUCCCCUGGUAUUAAAAGCAAACACUUGCUAUCUGGAGAUUGAGUCUUUGUCAGAUGACAUAAUUUCGCCACCAGUCAAUGUUGAACAAAUUGACAUGUAGCUGGGAAUUCAUUCCUAAUAACUUUGAAAUUUGACAAGCAGGCUGUUUCUACCUUUGACUAAGCUGAAAGAAGUCAUUGUAUCAUCAGCCCUUACUGAUGAAACUCUUUUGAAUCCCACAACUAUGACCGCCUUUCCAGUUUCGAAAAUUAGAAAGCUGUCUGAAAAAAGGUUGAAAACGACGAGGGAUCAAAACUUGUUCUCUGAGAUGCUCCCCAUUACUGACACCAAACCCGCUGCUUUGUUGAUCAAAGAAUUGGUUCUGAGUAAAAGCACGUUUAUGAUUCCUGUUGUACCCUAUUAAUUACUUGCGCAUGCCAUCUGAGCAGCUGUUCACCUCACGGGAGGAUCUCUUGAAAGAGAGCCUCAACAUAAAGAUCAAGGAACCGACAACCGACACCAUCAACAAGUCCAUCAUAGCAUGUCAUGCAAGUCGUCAAAGAUAACACCAACUUGAUCCCUGCCAUUGAGCAUCUCACGUCAAAAGCGGCUCCGUUCUUCACGCCACCGCGGCUCCGUUCUUCCGCUUCGUCCACCUCACGUCAUCUUUGCUCUGCAGCACAUCGCCGCCGUUCACCGCAACAAUUUCUUGUCUGCUAUUUUCCCCCUGAUCCUCAAUGCCACCGAGAUCCAGAUCCGUAUAACCGCCAUCGUUCACCUUGUUCUGCGUGCAUCCCACUUUCCUCGAGCUGUUAUCUAUCCUUGUGUCUGUUAUUUGUUUAUAAAAAUUAAAAAUACAAUCAUUGGCUAACAAA
Daphnia pulex (common water flea) is the source of this 1224-nucleotide long non-coding RNA. RefSeq lists it as uncharacterized. The record is from RefSeq and is a predicted model, not a curated record. NCBI's taxonomy places the organism in Eukaryota, Metazoa, Arthropoda, Branchiopoda, Diplostraca, Daphniidae. The transcript is spliced from 7 exons.